Molecule: small nuclear RNA, 188 nt
Organism: Rhododendron vialii
Lineage: Eukaryota; Viridiplantae; Streptophyta; Magnoliopsida; Ericales; Ericaceae
Product: U2 spliceosomal RNA
Exons: 1
Source: RefSeq, a predicted model, not a curated record
AUACCUUUCUCGGUUUUUUGGCUAAGAUCAAGUGUAGUAUCUGUUCUUAUUAAUUUAAUAUCUGAUAUGUGGGUCAUUGGCUUAUAUGAUAUUAUAUUAAUUUUUUGAGGGAGAGAGCCCAUUAGCUACUGGGGUUUCUCGUACGUCGCCUUGACAUUGCACUAUUGCCUUGGCUUGGCGUACCUCAC